Molecule: ribosomal RNA, 407 nt
Filed under: bacterium enrichment culture clone ALO1_GLFRUDD03GZ4TC
Lineage: Bacteria
Description: bacterial SSU rRNA
Rfam family: Bacterial small subunit ribosomal RNA
Source: RNAcentral
GAGUUUGAUCGUGGCUCAGAUUGAACGCUGGCGGCAUGCCUUACACAUGCAAGUUGAACGGCAGCACGGGAGCUUGCUCCUGGUGGCGAGUGGCGAACGGGUGAGUAAUGCAUCGGAACGUAUCCUGGAGUGGGGGAUAACGUAGCGAAAGUUACGCUAAUACCGCAUAUUCUGUGAGCAGGAAAGCGGGGGACCUUCGGGCCUCGCGCUCUUGGAGCGGCCGAUGUCGGAUUAGCUAGUUGGUGAGGUAAAGGCUCACCAAGGCGACGAUCCGUAGCAGGUCUGAGAGGAUGAUCUGCCACACUGGAACUGAGACACGGUCCAGACUCCUACGGGAGGCAGCAGUGGGAAUUUUGGACAAUGGGGGCAACCCUGAUCCAGCCAUGCCGCGUGAGUGAAGAAGGCCU